Sitodiplosis mosellana (orange wheat blossom midge) is the source of this 1675-nucleotide long non-coding RNA. RefSeq lists it as uncharacterized. The record is from RefSeq and is a predicted model, not a curated record. The transcript is spliced from 4 exons. NCBI's taxonomy places the organism in Eukaryota, Metazoa, Arthropoda, Insecta, Diptera, Cecidomyiidae.
ACGUGAGCUGUCAAUCUAUUUUUAUUCACACCUCACUUUUCAAACUUUUGUUUCUUCUUUUUUUGCUUCCGAAGGUCUUUUUGAGAAAAUAAAAAUGAAACAAAUGGAAAAUUUGUUGAAGACAAAAAAUAACGAUUCAAUAUUGGUAUCAAUUUCAAGUUGACAUAUAUAUUAACGCUAUGAUGUUGACGCUUUUAUUUCAGUAUUUUUAGACGAAAAUGACAUAAAUUUUUCGGAGCUCCGUGUGGAUUUGUGCUUCUUAAAUCCAUGGGGAUUAUAACCAGUGACGAAGUCUUUCUGGAACAAUUUUUGGAAGACACAGAUUUAAUUGUUCGAUGAACAAACUCGUCGAAAUUGAAACAAUUUCAACUUCACAUUUCAAUAUUGCAGCUACUUAUCGCCUCCGUACACAAAAAAAAACAGAUACUUGUUCAAUAGCUCAUAAGUGUGUUUAUCAGGAGUUGACUUAAUCAAUUGAUCAAUUUCACUAUUUCAACGUCAAACAAUGAAAUCAAAAUACAUUUUAUUUCUCCACCUGAACCAUAGGCCAUCAGUACUCAACGAGAUAUUCUCAUUGAGAAUACAUCUCGCUUAAUUCCACUCCAAGAAUGCAAACACCGAAACGACUUUUCGCAGCAAGAAACAAACGCAUCUGUGACGGUAUCACAAACCGCCAUCAUUGAUAACACGAUAAUGAUGGAAUCAUCGCAGAUAACACACACAGAAAAAAAUCUUCGGAAAUUUUGGGUGUUCGCCGUAAAAUUUGACAUUUAUAUAUAAAUUUCUAUAUACAUUUUACCGGCAACACUUCAAUUUUCCGGGCGAUGACAUAUUUUCGAACAUUUUAUCAAAUACCAUAUAUAUUUUAUCGCUUGAAAUGACAGAUGGCGCUAAUUUCUGUUGGAAUAUUUGAAAUUAUGUCAUCGCCCGGAAAAUUCAAGUGUUGCCGGUAAAAUGUAUAUAGAAAUUUAUGUAUAAAUGUCAAAUUUUACGGCGAACACCCAAAAUUUCCGGGGAUUCUUUUCUGGUGCAAGUAUAUCGAUAUCAAAAGAUAAUGCAUUUUAGUACGCUGCUUCAGAGUCUGACACUGCAGACGCUGCAGUUUUCCAUUGCGUUCUUCGAAAUUUGAUAUCAACGAGAGCGAAAUUUCAUUAACCAAAUUACCGAGAUGUAUAAACCGAGUGCACCGCCAUGCUAUGAAGACUUGAGUGAAAUACCAAACGAUGCACAGUUCAAUCAGCCAAUUGAUGUUCCAAUUUAAACUCAACCACAACUCCAAACAUCAAUCCAGCCUCCAAACUUGAAUCAAUUUGAAAUUCCAAGCGUUUCACGUCAAAUUGCAAUUAUCCAUGACGCCUACUCAGGACUGUGUACAGGUUGCCAAUUGCCAUUAUGAACACGCGUAGGAUAUCGCACCACUUGUAAAACGCACUUGACAUUUUUACUGUGCUGCAUCUUUUGUUGCUACGUUUGUUCACCCUUUGUUUAUUGUGUGGAUUCGUGUCGUGAGCCGCAAGUCUACUGUAAUGCAUGCGGUCGAAUGAUUUUAGUGUGAUGGUUUUUGUUUUAAACAAACACUGGAGAUGAAAACCUUUUCACCACGUUUAUUUUUCAUAUUGUGAAUAUGGAUACAUCAAUAAAUAUGUCACAGCUUAUGUGUUUUCCCCCACCCAAA